UAAAGGCCUGGUCCCAACUUUACUAUUAGUUUUAACUCAAUUUACACAUGCAAGUAUCCGCACCCCCGUGAGAAUGCCCUUAAUUUCCCUUGCGGAAACAAGGAGCUGGCAUCAGGCACAUUUUACUAUAGCCCAAGACGCCUUGCUAUUGCCACACCCCCAAGGGAACUCAGCAGUGAUAGAUAUUAAGACAUAAGUGAAAACUUGACUUAGUUAGAGUUAUAAAGGGUCGGUAAAACUCGUGCCAGCCACCGCGGUUAUACGAGAGACCCUAAUUAAUAAUUACGGCGUAAAGAGUGGUUAAAAGUUAAUAUAAAUAAAGCCAAAGAUUUUCCAAGCUGUUAUACGCACUCGAAAAUAUGAAGCCUUACAACGAAAGUAGCUUUAUAAACCUUUGACUCCACGAAAGCUAUGAUACAAACUGGGAUUAGAUACCCCACUAUGCCUAGCCUUAAACCUUGAUGAAAAAUAUACAAAUUCAUCCGCCAGGGGACUACAAGCGCCAGCUUAAAACCCAAAGGACUUGACGGUGUCUCAGACCCACCUAGAGGAGCCUGUUCUAGAACCGAUAACCCCCGUUAAACCUCACCACCCCUUGUUAUUUCAGCCUAUAUACCGCCGUCGCAAGCUUACCCUGUGAAGGCUACAUAGUAAGCAAAAUGAGUACAACUCAACACGUCAGGUCGAGGUGUAGCUUAUGAGGUGGAAAGAAAUGGGCUACAUUUUCUAUUAUAGAAUACUACGAAUGAUUAUACGAAAAUAUUUUCUGAAGGUGGAUUUAGAAGUAAAAAACAAAUAGAGAGUCUUUUUGAACCAGGCUCUGAGACGCGCACACACCGCCCGUCACUCUCCCCUUAACUCAAAACUUAGUAAAUAACUUCACAUAACAUUUAUUCGGGGAGGCAAGUCGUAACAUGGUAAGUGUACCGGAAGGUGCACUUGGAUCAU
Molecule: non-coding RNA, 948 nt
Filed under: Carnegiella strigata (marbled hatchetfish)
Lineage: Eukaryota; Metazoa; Chordata; Actinopteri; Characiformes; Gasteropelecidae
Description: 12S rRNA
Rfam family: Bacterial small subunit ribosomal RNA
Source: RNAcentral